UCUUCGGUGAUGAUUUACACAGUGACUUUCGUUCUUCUGAGACUGCUGAAGCCAGCAUUUCUGUCCUGAGAAGA
Molecule: small nucleolar RNA, 74 nt
Filed under: Anabas testudineus (climbing perch)
Lineage: Eukaryota; Metazoa; Chordata; Actinopteri; Anabantiformes; Anabantidae
Description: Small nucleolar RNA SNORD59 (ENSATEG00000030961.1)
Rfam family: Small nucleolar RNA SNORD59
About the family: U59 belongs to the C/D class of snoRNA which contain the C (UGAUGA) and D (CUGA) box motifs.
Source: Rfam by way of RNAcentral